RNAcentral lists this long non-coding RNA (254 nucleotides) under Elaeis guineensis (African oil palm). RNAcentral describes it as "long non-coding RNA (EGUI_LNC037294)". Lineage: Eukaryota; Viridiplantae; Streptophyta; Magnoliopsida; Arecales; Arecaceae. The record is from RNAcentral.
GGCGCAGAAAGGGCCCAGAAUGGGGUAGCGCAGAAAAAUAGUAGGUUAAGGUCACGAAUUUGAAAUUAUGAUUUUAACCCACAAUUUCAAUAUGUUACCCACCCUGCAUUAUGUGACAAGUGAUGGAUGCCACAUCGUUAGAAAAUUAUGGAUUCAAUCUAUAAUUUUAUAUUAAAAUUGUAAAAUCGAAAAUAAUUUUUGUUUGAUAUUUUUUAAUAUUUUAUUAAAAAAAUAUUAUUAAAAGAAAGAAAGAA